This 73-nucleotide transfer RNA is filed under the name Bos taurus (domestic cattle). It matches the Rfam family "tRNA". Rfam says of the family: Transfer RNA (tRNA) molecules are approximately 80 nucleotides in length. The record is from Rfam by way of RNAcentral. Lineage: Eukaryota; Metazoa; Chordata; Mammalia; Artiodactyla; Bovidae. RNAcentral also lists the same sequence under 5 other names.
UCCCUGGUGGUCCAGUGGCUAUGAAUCCAUGCUCCCAAUUUGGAAGGCCUGGGUUUGAUCCCUGGUCAGGGAA